GAUGAAGAACGCAGCGAAAUGCGAUACUUGGUGUGAAUUGCAGAAUCCCGUGAACCAUCGAGUCUUUGAACGCAAGUUGCGCCCGAAGCCACUAGGCCGAGGGCACGCCUGCCUGGGCGUCACACGCCGUUGCCCCCCCAUCUACUCCUUCGGGAUUGCGGGGGGGCGGAUGAUGGCCUCCCGUGCGCCUAGCCGCGCGGUUGGCAUAAAUACCAAGUCCUCGGCGACGCACGCCACGACAAUCGGUGGUUGCGAAACCUCGGUUGCCCGUCGUGUGCGUUCGUCGCGCAUCGAGGGCUCGAAAAAAUGCUCGGCUCCGGCUGGGCUUUCAACGCGACCCCAGGUCAGGCGGGGUUACCCGCUGAAUUUAAGCAUAACAAUAAGCGGAGGA
RNAcentral lists this unclassified non-coding RNA (391 nucleotides) under soil metagenome. RNAcentral describes it as "partial contains 5.8S ribosomal RNA, internal transcribed spacer 2, and large subunit ribosomal RNA". The stretch from base 1 to 122 matches the Rfam family "5.8S ribosomal RNA", at positions 35 to 154 of the family's 154-position model. The record is from RNAcentral.